Molecule: long non-coding RNA, 7987 nt
Filed under: Lathyrus oleraceus (garden pea)
Lineage: Eukaryota; Viridiplantae; Streptophyta; Magnoliopsida; Fabales; Fabaceae
Description: Pisum sativum (pea) long non-coding RNA (PSAT_LNC000890)
Source: RNAcentral
UACACAAACAUUUCCAUUCCAAUUCCAAUUCCAAAUUAUAUUUCAAUUCAAGCUUUACAACAUUACAUAAAAUCUACAAUUACAAAUCCAAUUAAUUCCAAAACAAUUCAAGCAUUCCAAAGUCCAACAAUCAUCCAAGCAACUACAAGCCAAUGCCCAUUCAAAGCCAAGCAAAUACAAAAUCCAUAGCUUCAUAGCCAAUUCCAAGCAAGCUCCUUAACACUAAAAACCAUUAACGUGCAAAUGAAACACACAAUUCAGAACCAUUUUUUUUCCAUUAAUAAUUACGCUUAACACUUCAUUCUCUUCUAACUCCCAAUUCAAUAACCUCUUAACUACUUCCACAAAAACAUAAUAGAACUUAUAACCUCCUAACAAUCUUCUUCAAACCAAAGGAAAUUCUAGCAGAAUUUCAACAAACAAAACCAACAAUUCUCAACAGAAUUUCAUCACUCCAAAAUUUCAUCAACUCUUCUUAACUGCUUCUCUAGAAAACUCUCUCAACCAUCAUCCAUUGAAACCAACACAAACCAAGUGAAGCUAACUGAUGAAUUCAAAUGCAUCAUGACCUGCACAUACAUCAGAAACAAAACUUUGUCAACAUCCUGCAUAAUCAGAGCAACAAACAUUGCCCUGCAGAAUUUAAAAGCAACUAAGAUGCCUGCAUUUUCGGGUGGCAGCAUACCAAGUGUGAGUUCCACCAUAAGCCAUGCAAAUGCAAUGUACAGAAUAAGGGAAUUUUUACAAAAAUAACCCACUUUUUCAAGGAAAUUCCCAAAAUACCCCUAGUUUCAAAAAAAAUCCUAAACUACCCCACUUUUAGGAGGAGUCGCCAAUUGAAUUGGAGACUCCUCUUAAAAAUUGAAUGGAGGCGCCAAUUGGAUUGACUAGGGCAGGUGCCCUAGCCAAUCCAAUUGGCGCCCCUGUGUAGGGUUUAAGAGGAGGCACCAAUUGGAUUGACUAGGGCAGGUGCCCUAGCCAAUCCAAUUGGCGCCCCUGUGUAGGGUUUAAGAGGAGGCGCCAAUUUAAUUGGAGACUCCUCUUAAAAUGCAAUUUUUUUGGUAAAUGGUAUACAUGAUAGAUAAAUUUGAUAUAGGACCAAUUGAUAUUAAUAAAAUUUGCCGUUUACACAAAGAAACCUAAUGGUGAUGACCGGGAUCACCUAAAUGACCUCCGCUCCCACAUCCUCUAGCUACCCUAACCCGUGGCCCUAACCCAUGUUGACGAUUCUGUACCGGUGUUUGAGCAUCCGAGGGGCCAGGAGCGUCACUACCAACUAUAGGAGAAGGUCUGUUGAGGUAGUCAGACAAGUCGACAUAGUCUUCAGUAUGCAUCGAUGGUGUACCGCCGUAGCUGAGCUCAUGACCUAUGCCAAAGAAGUUGGGAUGUGGUUGACUCAUUGAUGGGCGACCGGGACGGUUGAAGGGAGACAUGGGUGUGAACGAUGCAUUGAGGAAAGGUUGUUGGGGUGUUUGGUAGAGAUAGGGUUGUUGGAUGUUUUGGUUUUGUGAGGUUUGGGCUUCUUGGCUACGGUAGGAGGAGGGGCGGUUGGUGUUGAAUGAUCGUUGGAUGUUCUGGCUUAGGCGACUUUGGUAGGGUGAUGGGGUGGGUGCGAAGCGAUGUUGAGUCUCAGGUUGAUGGUCAAUUUGUUGGUGGUGGUAUGGGGUAUGCUCUUGGUAUUGGGGUUGGGUGUAUGGAAUGUUUUGGUUGUAUAUUUGUGUGUUGGUUGAACAGAACGUUUGACGGACAGGGGGUUGUGUGUAUCCGGUCUGACACUGUUGUUGGGGGUUUGAUGUUGAGGUGUCAGGUAUGUAAGUCAUCUGACGUGGGUUGUACAAGUACAUAUCCUCGACGAUGAACUGAAAACCAACCGAUCUGUACCAAGCCAUAUAAGUACGACUUGGUUUUUCUUCAGUUGGCAUGACUGCGUCAGUUAACACAUGAUCAUGACGGUGCUUCCAUUUGCAACACUCCGAUCUUGCGAAGCUUUGCCAUGGAUUGAAGUUCCAUUGGUCGUUAACUUUGCGCAUAUGCCAUUCUCCUAGGCUAGCUGGAGGAUCUGGGAUAUUUUGGGGCAUACCGAACUGUAGCUUCACACGAUCACUAUUGUGCAUCUCCACAGUUGUGAACCGUAUUAUCCGUGUGCAUGCAGUCCAUACGGUCGCGUCUUCGGCAUUGACCUUAUGGUCAUGAUCCAAAUUAAGGUAUGGACGCCAAAUGAAUUGAAAUGUGAAAGAAGAUUGGAUUAUAGUCAAGGUAGAAGAAGUUAACAAAAUAUAACGAAAUAAUUAAGUUAUUUUCCUUACGUCUGUCGGUCGAAGGUGAUCCAACAGGUUGCGAUACUGAGUAAUACAAUGUCACUUGGACAUCUGUUGUAACUCAUACCACGUGCAGACCAUCUACACCAAAAAGUCAAAAAAUAUUAGUUAGAGGUAAUAAUCUUUAAAGAAGUAAGUAAAGAUAUAACAAUUUAAACAACUUACUUUUAUGCAUACGGAAAUGUGAAAGAGUUGUUAUUGACGGGUGCUAGAGACGGUAGUCUUGACCAACCUCAUGCUUGUAGCAAAACAAUACAUCCAGAAAAUGUAUAUGUGUCUUUGUGUGAGUUUUUGCACAAGAAGCUAUAGAGAUAGGCUAGACAAGCAGAUCCCUAACUGUAACUUCCUAUUCUAUCUACAUGUCUAAGUAGAGGUAAAUACAUGAUAUGCAUGCUAAAACCACUACCUUCGGUAAAUAAAAACGAGCCAAUUAACAGCAUAAUGUAACACCUAGUUUUUAUUAUUCGAGCAUCUUCGGUAAAAUGCUCAUCUAAGUAUAAACUAUUAUAGUACGACUUAAGGCGUGAGAGUAGUAUACCUUGACCUCUUGCGUUAUCAUCUAACAAAUCAGUCUCCAAGAGAUCCAUGCAAAUUGAAUUUGCAUAGUUGGUUUUACCAUUAACAUCCUUACCUUCAAUGGGUAGUCCCAAAAGCAUGUAGACGUCUUCUAACGUCACGGUACACUCACCGGUUGGGAACCAAAAUGUGUGUGUCUCUGGUCUCCAUCUUUCGCAUAAAGCUAGAAUGAAUUUUUACUAUGGACCAAGACAAACUUGCUUAUAUGACCAAACCGGCGAGUUCAACAUAAGGUUGAAUCAUCGAUCCAUAUGGACAAUUCGUGGACCCGAGUUCGGAACCUUGAUACAUCUAUAAAAGAAAGAACAAAAAACUUGAAAUAAGUGUAUUUAAAUAAAAGGGGGUUGGUGAAGAUGAAAGAUAAAAAGUUAACAAAAGAAAAACUUACAUAUGUUGCGAUGUUUGCACCGUUCUCUAUGUGAUUCGUCCAUUGUGAGGAUGGACAUUUUGUCAGGGGUUGGUGUAGAUGUAACUACAAGAAGUUUGUGCAGAUGAAAUUGUAGAUGAAGUAUGUGAAGAAGUAUGAGAGUGAUGGUGUGGAAGAAGUGUUAUGGAGUGAUGUAUUUAUAGGCAAAUGGAUGGGAGCAUGAAAGUUGUGCUUGCAUGGUGUCUCCACUUGAAUUGGCGACCAUGUACAACCUUUAAGAGGGGUCGCCAUUCAAAUGGCGCUCCAUAGGGACAUGCAUGCAAGACUAGGUCUGAUUGCUUGGUUUCGAGCCUGAAUGCAUGCUUUGACAAGGUGUCUCCACUUGAAUUGGCGCCAUGUGCAAGGAUGGUGGGGACGCCAAUUCAUUUGGAGUGUGUGUCUGCAUGUCUGACAUGUGGCUGUCCUCUCUCUUGCAUGCUGAACAUGUCACUUCUUAGUAGCUGCAUGUUGACAUCAUUUCGGAGUAGCUUGCAUGUGGCGACACGUCACUUCGGAGUGGCUUGCAUAUGCGACACAUCACUUUAAACUAGCUAGCAUGUGGAUACUUCACCCUCUAUUUAAGUGUCUUACUAUCAACAUCCAGACACUUCACUCACAUUCAUCUGCAGUAAGAAAAUAGUUUUCAUCUGCACAUGUCAUCUCAUCAUUAUACAGUGUCAACGUUCACUGCAACGGUGACAUACGAGUCUGAGCUAUAUGGUUUUUUGUUUUCGAAACACUGAUACAUUACACUCCACAAUAAAGAGAAUGCAACCUUCUUGCAUUGAAAAAAGAAUACCAUCCUGUAUAGGAUCAGGUAUUGUGUCAAAGAUCACAUAUCAAAUCCAAAUUUUUUUAGAAUAGUCAAUGCAGUAUUUCCCUAAGGUACGAGACGAUGAGAUGUUGAAACAUGUUUGUUAGUCCAUGAACAUUCAGGCUGCAACUGUAUUGAGUUGUACAUUACUCUUCAACCAUGUAUACCAUCUCAACAGUCUCAACUAACCAGUCAGGAUGAAUCUGGUGAAGAUGAUCCAUAAUGGUCAGAUGAUGUUAACCCAGAAGCAGAAGCAGAAGUGGACGUCGUUGAUGAAGAAGAAGAGGAGACCGAGAUACAGGUUGAUCACAUGUUGAACAACGACGAGGAAGAUGAUGAUCAACCACCACCAAUACCUCAUAGUCAUGUCUACAAUCUGCCUUAACAUAUGACAAAUAUGGAUCUUCACGAUGAUGAAACAUCCAACAGUGUUUUCUAUAAUCCGUAUCCGAGAUCAGAAGGCGAAUUAAAGGUGGGAGACAUGUUUCAUACCAAAGAAGAAUGUGUUCUGGCUAUCAAAAAAUUCCACAUGAACAACUCUGCUGAUUUUACAGUGAAAUGCAUUGAUUCUAGAAGGUAUGUUAUUGAAUGUCGUAACAUGCUUUGUAAGUUUCGUUUGGCUGCGUCUUACAAGAAGAAAAACAACUCUUGGGAGAUUGCUUCAAUAAACCCACCUCACAGUUGCAUUGCAACUAGCGUUGAACAAGAUCACCGUAAACUAAGCACAUCGUUGAUAUGUCAAGACAUUCUGCCGUUGGUUAAUAAAGACCCAUCAGUGAAGGUGAGUAUAAUUAUAUCCCAUAUCAGAUCAACAUAUAAUUAUACUCCAUCUUACAAGAAAGCCUGGAUUGCAAGGAUAAAGGCCGUUGAACAAGUUUUCGGCAACUGGGAGGAUUCAUACAAGGAAUUGCCACGGUUUUUAUGGGCACUAAAAACAUAUGUCCCAAGAACUGUGGCAAUUAUGGAGACAUUGCCAGCGAUGAUGCCAGACAGAACCUGUGCUACAGGUAAUAGAAUCUUUCACCGUCUCUUUUGGGCAUUAUUUAUGGGCACUAAAAACAUAUGUCCCAAGAACUGUGGCAAUUAUGGAGACAUUGCCAGCGAUGAUGCCAGACAGAACCUGUGCUACAGGUAAUAGAAUCUUUCACCGUCUCUUUUGGGCAUUUGACCCGUGCAUCAAAGGUUUCAUAUUCUGCAAACCUAUUAUUUAAAUUGAUGGCACUUGGUUAUACGGAAAAUACAAGGAUACUUUGCUCAUGGCGGUUGCAUAAGACGACAACAACAAUGUCUUUCCCAUUUCCUUUGCUCUUGUUGAAGGUGAAACGGCUGGUGGAUGGGGUUUCUUUUUUCGACAUCUCAGAACGCAUGUGGCUCCACAAGCUAAUCUCUGUUUGAUUUCUGAUAGACAUGCUGCCAUUGAGAGUGCCUAUAACAACCAUGACAACGGAUGGCAUGAUCCUCCUUCUACCCAUGUCUACUGUAUCAGACACAUUGCCCAAAACUUCAUGUGUACUAUAAAAGAUAAGAAUCUUCGCAAGAAGGUGGUGAAUGUUGGGUAUGCUCUAACUCAGCCGUCAUUUCAAUAUUAUCGUGAUGAAAUUAGACUGUCUAAUGAAGACGUAUGGAGAUGGCUAAAUAACAUACCAGUAGAGCAGUGGACAAUGGCAUUUGAAAGAGGUUGUCGAUGGGGCCACAUGACAACAAACAUUGUGGAAUGCAUGAACGGGGUAUUCAAAGGAAUUAGAAAUCUGCCGAUAACCGCCUUGGUAAGAUCAACCUAUUAUAGGUUGGCUUCUACGUUCGCAACCAGAGGUGAAAGAUUGAGUGUGGUGUUAAUGUCCGGGAAAGUAUUCAGUGAGUGUUGCAUGAAGGUCAUGAGAGAGGAGAGCAUCAAAGCUAGCACACACGCUGUAACAGUCUUUGACCGUCAUAGGAAAAAUUUCAACGUCCAGGAAAUAAUGGACCACAACAAGGGGAGACCAAAUUUAGCAUACGCUGUUAGACUAAACAGAAGUUGGUGUGAUUGUGGAAAAUACGGGGCCUUCCGCAUACCUUGCUCCCAUGUCAUUGCAGCAUGCACUUAUACUCGUCAAGAUGCUUACAACCAUUUAUCUGAUGUGUACAAGGCAACACCAUCAUGAAUGUAUAUAAUCAAAGCUUCUCAAUACUACCAAUGGAGGAUUAUUGGCCUCCAUAUGAAAGUGAUAUUGUUUGGCACCAUGACGAGAUGUGUAGAAAGAAAAAAGGAAGGCCAAACAGCACACAUAUCAGAACAGAGAUGGAUUCCACAUAUAAAAUGAUAAGAUUAUGUAGUAUCUGUCGUCAACCAGGACACAACAAGAACAACUGUCCCAAUCGAGGAUCAUCAUCUAGGUCUUAAGAUUUUUGUAACAUUGUAUUUCUGUAACCUUCAAUCAUUAUAUAUCAUUAAGUUUUUGUUACAUAGAGGUUCACAACAAACAUCAAUACAAAAUAAGCUAUCUGAAAACAGAAAUAUUUCUAACUGAUUACAACAAUCAAAUUGAUGUCGUCUCGACCGAACAUCAUUUCCCUAGCAUCCUUAUCAGUCUCAAUCCGCAACCAACACAGAUUCUGUCAAGUCUCUCAAUACUUCUAAUUUUCCCCUUCUGGUAUUUUCCCAUCUAACCAACGAACCAACUCCCUCUUCAGUUGAUCGAACAUAGUGAUGUUCCAGAACAGCACCAGCAUCUGAGGUUUGUCUCUCGCAUAAAUCACCUUUCCGUAUCAGCGACAAACACCAAACAUGAUUGAAAAAUGAUUAUAUGAAUGUGGAAUAAUUACUCACACAACACAUCUAUUUAUAAACAAAAAAUUGCAUUUUAGGAGGAGUCUCCGAAUUGAAUUGGCGCCUCUUCUUAAACCUACACAGGGUCGCCAAUUGGCCUGGCUAGGGCACCUGCCCUAGCCAAUCCAAUUGGCGUCUCCAUUCAAUUUUUAAGAGGAGUCUCCAAUUCAAUUGGCGACUCCUCCUAAAAGUGAGGUAGUUUGGGAUUUUUUUUGAAACCAGGGGUAUUUUGGGAAUUUCCUUGGAAAAGUGGGUUAUUUUCGUAAAAAGUCCCAGAAUAAGACCCUGUUAACUGAAUUGAUCAGAACAACUCAGUUUCACUUAUAACCUCUUUAAUAUAUUUUACAUUUCCAACUAAUUGUGAUUCUCAUUGUAUUUGGAGUGCAUUUCAGUUGCAACUCAUAACAGAAAAUGAAGCCUAUAAAUAACUCACUCCUCUUUAUUCAUAUAGUUACACAGAAGCAUACACACUUUGACUCUAAAAGUUUUCAGAUUUCGAUCUCUCUGAAUCUCAAUCAUUUUCCUCACUCAGAGCUCAUUUUCGAGACUCAAUUGAAGCUUCACAUUGAAACUUUAAUAAGAGUGAGUUGAGCCACUCUUUUCCUGCCUCACAAAACCGAUUCUGAAUCACAAAAAGGUAGAAAAAGAGGUGUAUAUCGAAGAAAGAAUCACGAUUGUGAAUAUACCUGUGCUUCAAGUGAUUUUCCUAUGCGUAUUCAUCUUCUCUGAUCAACACUUGCCGAAACAUUUCUUCGUUUCGGAGGUAGGUCACUUCUUCCCCGUUUCCCAUGAAUCUUAUUACCAUUGCGUAGUAGACUUCAUUUGCAUCAGAAACCCCUUCAUUUGAAUGCAAAUCUUUGUCUAUUUGUCAUUUAAUUUGACUUAGGAAGAUUAGGGUUCGUGGCUGUUUACGUUCAAUUUGCUUGAUUCGUGAAUCUUUGGGUUUUUUCAUGGUGAUAUUCAGACUCAGGGUACGGAAUAGGGUAAGGUCAUGGUUUUUAAUCAAGGAGCUAUGGUUGCUCCGCCGCCGGAGAGGCCUCCGACAUGGCGGAGGGAGCAAUGAAAAU